GGGGCUCGGGGCUUGAGGAAACACGAGGCGGGGGGGAAGGAGGACCCUGACUGCAAGGAACGCCUGCUCUUCCUCCUCCUCCUCUCCCUCCUCCUCCUCCUCGCAGCCGUUGAGACCUCAUGGGCACCCUUGGUUGAGUGCCAAGAAGAGGGAUGGGAGAUGAACAGAUGAUGCUCUCUAACUGGGAGAUGCCCUUUUGUCUAUCUGUCCUCACACAAAAGGAUCAAAACAUGGCACGCCUCGUGCCUGGGGGACACAGAAGGAUCUGGGAGUGGAUCUGCAGCUAGGGUAAGGAAGGUAAUGUGUGGGGCAAAAUGAUGAAG
This is a long non-coding RNA of Gallus gallus (chicken), 323 nucleotides long. The record is from Ensembl. Lineage: Eukaryota; Metazoa; Chordata; Aves; Galliformes; Phasianidae.